This 244-nucleotide ribosomal RNA is filed under the name uncultured bacterium. RNAcentral's name for it is "partial small subunit ribosomal RNA". It matches the Rfam family "Bacterial small subunit ribosomal RNA", at positions 26 to 285 of the family's 1533-position model. The record is from RNAcentral.
AGAAUCAACGCUGGCGGCGUGCCUAACACAUGCAAGUCGAACGAGAAAGUGGAGCAAUCCAUGAGUAAAGUGGCGACCGGGUGAGUAACACGUGACUAACCUACCUUUGAGUGGGGGAUAACAUCGGGAAACCGAUGCUAAUACCGCAUAACAUCGCAAGAUCAAAGCAGCAAUGCGCUUAAAGAGGGGGUCGCGGCUGAUUAGCUAGUUGGCGGGUAACGGCCCACCAAGGCGAAGAUCGGUA